GGAAACUAAGAAGAGCAAUUAAUGAACCUAAUUAAAAUUGGAGAGCUAGCAGGAGAGAUUAGUGCCAGGAUCAACGCUAAGUUGGGUGCAAUAAUCAGUAUAAUAGUUGAUGCGGGCUUGAACUAGGGCAGGCUGUUUGCCAUCACAUUCCACAGCGCCAUUAAUGGCUCGAAUUGUGGCUCCAAAUCCUUGACUUAUAACCGGACGAACAUUGUUUAUCCAAAACCACAGGGCAGUCUUGAAUGCAAGAACGGGGUCUGAGGCCACGCUUUCUGGCGAGUUUAAGCCGUCGAAUCCAAUGCUGUUUCCAGCAGCUCCAUAGUUGUAGUUCCACGUUAGCUGGAGCGGUCCACGACCAUAGUACUGUUUGUUGGGGUUGCAUGGAUAGUUUGUAAAGCUUG
This 401-nucleotide long non-coding RNA is filed under the name Prunus persica (peach). RNAcentral describes it as "long non-coding RNA (PPER_LNC000946)". Lineage: Eukaryota; Viridiplantae; Streptophyta; Magnoliopsida; Rosales; Rosaceae. The record is from RNAcentral.